AAAGUGGUACCAAGGUCUCCGUUGGUGAACCAGCGGAGGGAUCAUUA
Molecule: ribosomal RNA, 47 nt
Filed under: Trichoderma inhamatum
Lineage: Eukaryota; Fungi; Ascomycota; Sordariomycetes; Hypocreales; Hypocreaceae
Description: partial small subunit ribosomal RNA
Source: RNAcentral